AAUGAUAAGGUUGAAUCAGUUGGUCAUGUUCUUCUUUUCUGUUCUUGCUAUCGGGAUCCUCGUAUGGAGCUUUUAUCACCCAUUAUUUGUAAAUCUCCCGGGAGAUCAGAGGAGAUUAUGUGCAGUGGCUACUCUCAGACAAUGCCCCUUAUAUCACCAGACAAGUGGCCAAAUUCUGCGCUGCAGCAAUGAUUGUUCGUAAACAGAUGUUUGGAGAAAGGACUGCAGAAGAAUAAGACCCACAAAAUGGAAUCUGCGAUGACGGAGAGCAAUGUGAUUCAUCCUAAGAAGAAUGAGAAGCCACACAGGAGAACUUGGGAUCAAGAGAUAGCAGGUUUAUUUCAUGGCAGGGAGCUGAAACCAGACAAUUUUACAUAUGCGCCUGUUAAAGAAGAAGGGCCUAGAUUUUACCGAAUUUGGGAUGUUAACCAGAAAACCAUUAUUUUGAUGAACAACAGGCUGAUAGCAUCUCCACGAAGUUCCAAUAAACCAGGUAAUUGAUGAAUUUGUUAAUUCUGUCUCCACUCCUCUCCCUGCCCAUCUGAAAUCUAUCAAUGGAACGCCCAUAGAUUCUAUGGCUGACUAGCAGAGGUCCAAGGUGUGCCUCUUGUACAUGGACUUGAUGACCAUUUCUAUUGCUGCUGCCUUGCUGACUCCCCUAAUUCAGAGGAAAAGAGCUGAACCCUCCAUUUUAUACAGAGCCUCAUGGUGCAGUGGUUAAACUGCGCGUCCAAUAAUCUGCUCACGAUUAGAGAUGGGGACGAAUAGAAAAGAAGUGAUUUGUUAUGAUU
RNAcentral lists this long non-coding RNA (791 nucleotides) under Pogona vitticeps (central bearded dragon). RNAcentral's name for it is "lncRNA (ENSPVIG00000009097.1)". The record is from RNAcentral. Lineage: Eukaryota; Metazoa; Chordata; Lepidosauria; Squamata; Agamidae.